GGAGGGGUGGCCGAGCGGUUGAAGGCGGCGGUCUUGAAAACCGUUGUGGCGUAUCCCGUCACCGGGGGUUCGAAUCCCUCCCCCUCCGCCA
RNAcentral lists this transfer RNA (91 nucleotides) under bacterium ADurb.Bin429. Its description in RNAcentral is "tRNA-Ser". It matches the Rfam family "tRNA". From Rfam's summary of the family: Transfer RNA (tRNA) molecules are approximately 80 nucleotides in length. The record is from RNAcentral.